GACCAUUGAAAAUAAGAUCUGAAGUGGGUCCAACAGAUUGAAGUGAUUUGCAAAAAGGUGUCAAGCUUCUUUACUUUCUGUCACAGUUGAAACGAGCAAUCGUUCAAACGAUGGAUUUAGUGAAUUCUAUGCGUCUAGUAUUCGUUCUCUUCUGAGAUAUGCUUGUGAAUUCUUUAAUUUUAGUUUCGAGAGAAAUUAAACUUAUCCUUGGAACGCAUUCAUAAAAGAAGAAUGAGGAUUAUCGAUGGAUUUUUGACAAUACGUGCGAUGUUGCCCUGAAUCUGUCGUGCCUGGAGAGAUUGUUUGUUUAUGGGGAGAAACUUGAUGAUUUUCUGCAGAAGAUUUUCGUCAAUACAGAAGAUAAACUUUAUACACCGCAUAAUAUGAAUGGAGACUUCCCCUUAAAGAAAGAUUAGAAAAUGUACUGUCCGUAAAUGUAAUACUUACCGUUUUAAAAACUACGACCGUUUUAAAAACUGCGAUCGAUGGUACAACUAGUCGCUAUAAUGAAUGAACGAACGAAGUCUUUAUUUUUAUCAGGGUUGUUUCAGUGCUACAGUGAAUACUGUUAUAAACAUGAGCAAUGAAAGAACAAUGAUGGGGACUAUAUAGUUUAAAGGGGCAAUAUCAGCCAUUUUUGGGCAAUUGUAACCCUCGCAAGUUUUGCCCAAAACUGAAAAAGAAUGAAUGUAGGCACAAAAUUAAAGCAAUAAGAUUCAAAAAACAUGUAGAUGUGCAUGUUGAUUAAUUGUUGGCAGACACUUUUUCAUGUUUUAGUCAAUUUUAUGAAAAUGUUGUGCGUGGAAGUUCAAAGUUUUGUUUAAUAUGACUCAUUACUUAAUCAUUUACAAUGUUUAUUUUUAACUUUGUAGUUUAGUUUUUGAACAAAAGGCAUUUUAGGUAAAAAAAAUCGGUGACAAAAAUGGCAAAUAAUUUUUGUAAAUAU
This 946-nucleotide long non-coding RNA is filed under the name Paramuricea clavata. The record is from RNAcentral. Lineage: Eukaryota; Metazoa; Cnidaria; Anthozoa; Malacalcyonacea; Plexauridae.